CAACAACCACAAUGACCCUCUCUGCUACAGAUGAGGGAUCUUCUUUUGAGUCAGAUUAUCAGGAAGAGGAUCCUGGCCUUGCCCCCCUGUCCUCACUUUCAUCGGAAGAUGGAUGGCUCCCUGAGUUUGAUCCCAGUGAGGAUCCUGACCUUGACCCUCAGGCCCCAUCUGGAUCAGACCCAGAUCUUAAAAGUCCAGAGAAGUAUUGGCUUAUCACGAGGAAACACAUUCAGAGGAGAGGAACUAUUGCUGUGGAACCUGUGGCAAGAUGAUCUUUACCGCUGUGUCUUUAAAAAAAACAUGACUCAUAAAGAAAAAAAGGACAUUUCAGCGAUG
This 336-nucleotide long non-coding RNA is filed under the name Salmo salar (Atlantic salmon). RNAcentral describes it as "lncRNA (ENSSSAG00000090417.1)". The record is from RNAcentral. Lineage: Eukaryota; Metazoa; Chordata; Actinopteri; Salmoniformes; Salmonidae.